This 524-nucleotide ribosomal RNA is filed under the name uncultured bacterium. RNAcentral describes it as "bacterial SSU rRNA". It matches the Rfam family "Bacterial small subunit ribosomal RNA", at positions 777 to 1301 of the family's 1533-position model. The record is from RNAcentral.
AAUAGAUACCCGGGUAGUCCACGCCGUAAACGGUGAGUGCUAAGUGUUAGAGGGUUUCCGCCCUUUAGUGCUGCAGCAAACGCAUUAAGCACUCCGCCUGGGGAGUACGGUCGCAAGACUGAAACUCAAAGGAAUUGACGGGGGCCCGCACAAGCGGUGGAGCAUGUGGUUUAAUUCGAAGCAACGCGAAGAACCUUACCAGGUCUUGACAUCCUCUGACAACCCUAGAGAUAGGGCUUCCCCUUCGGGGGCAGAGUGACAGGUGGUGCAUGGUUGUCGUCAGCUCGUGUCGUGAGAUGUUGGGUUAAGUCCCGCAACGAGCGCAACCCUUGAUCUUAGUUGCCAGCAUUCAGUUGGGCACUCUAAGGUGACUGCCGGUGACAAACCGGAGGAAGGUGGGGAUGACGUCAAAUCAUCAUGCCCCUUAUGACCUGGGCUACACACGUGCUACAAUGGGCAGAACAAAGGGCAGCGAAGCCGCGAGGCUAAGCCAAUCCCACAAAUCUGUUCUCAGUUCGGAUCGC